GACGAACGCUGGCGGCGUGCUUAACACAUGCAAGUCGAACGGUGAACGAGGGAGCUUGCUCCCUCCGGAUCAGUGGCGAACGGGUGAGUAACACGUGAGCAAUCUGCCCCGAACUCUGGGAUAAGCGUUGGAAACGACGUCUAAUACCGGAUACGACGCGGGAGGGCAUCCUCUCCGCGUGGAAAGAACUUCGGUUCGGGAUGAGCUCGGGGCCUAUCAGCUUGUUGGUGAGGUAACGGCUCACCAAGGCGACGACGGGUAGCCGGCCUGAGAGGGUGAACGGCCACACUGGGACUGAGACACGGCCCAGACUCCUACGGGAGGCAGCAGUGGGGAAUAUUGCACAGUGGGCGCAAGCCUGAUGCAGCAACGCCGCGUGAGGGACGACGGCCUUCGGGUUGUAAACCUCUUUUAGCAGGGAAAAAGCGAAAGUGACGGUACCUGCAGAAAAAGCACCGGCUAACUACGUG
Molecule: ribosomal RNA, 470 nt
Filed under: uncultured bacterium
Lineage: Bacteria
Description: partial 16S ribosomal RNA
Rfam family: Bacterial small subunit ribosomal RNA
Source: RNAcentral